Triticum aestivum (bread wheat) is the source of this 1001-nucleotide long non-coding RNA. RefSeq lists it as uncharacterized. The transcript has 3 exons. The record is from RefSeq and is a predicted model, not a curated record. NCBI's taxonomy places the organism in Eukaryota, Viridiplantae, Streptophyta, Magnoliopsida, Poales, Poaceae.
UAGGCCACACACACACACAAAAGUAGGCAACCAUGGCGAGAAGGGAAAUUCCCCAAUUUUCGUGACUAUUCCGCCGGAAAAUACGGUCGUUCCUGUCCCCGUUCCUGUGCAAGAAGUUGUUCUGUUUUCUCUUUCGUUCCGAUAGAAUGAAUCUGUCCCAUUUCAUAUUUUCUCUCCGUUUCGGUUUUCCACGGAGCAGACGAGAAUAUUCUACAGUAUUUGUCUUCAGAUUUUCUUUUUUGAAAAACUAACAAGGAAAAAGCGAGUCCAAAGAAGCCUCUUGCCUGUCGUCUCGUCUGCAACUGUGCGCCUCUCAAGUAGCAGAGCGAGGCAGCCGAGUCAGGGAACAGGCCGCGGGACGACAGUGAGAACAUGGAGCUGCCGCGGAGCGCCAAGACCGCGCCGGCGAAGGUCGACGUCCGGCGGCCACCUUCCGCCUUGCGCGGCCGACGGCCAUCGUCACGACGUGCAGGGAAACCCCAUUCCCAAAUUGACGCCAAAGUAUGUUUUGAACUAGUCCUGGUACAGAUCCUUUAUUUAGACGGAGAUGAAGCAUAAUGCCCAACCAUAGUGAGUGCAACGGCCUUCAUUUUCCCUCAUAAUGGAUUGGAGGUACCUCUUGGUUCUUCGACUUGUUACAACCGGGAUCAUGCUGCUCAUUUUCUUUCACCCGGCAUCUUCGAAUACUGAACCCAAUUGUCCACCUUGUACUUGCUGCCGACCAUGCAGCUGUGGUCAUAACUGAUUGUACAUCGUUCCAGCAGUCUUCUUGGGAUCACUGUUCCGCAGAAAGCCAAUUACAGUCUCCUCUUUUUACGCCAUAUAUAUGUAUUACUCGGUUGUACCGUAGUAAAACAAGAUACCGUUGUAACGAUGGAUGCUGGUCUAUUGAGUAUUUACCUGGCCUAAGACUCGGAGCACUAUGCCAUAACUUGUAACGAUGAAUGCUGGCGAAAAUAGCUUUUGGAGCUCGGCCUUCAUGGAGGCCGGUUUUUGAAAAA